CCAGACUCCUACGGGAGGCAGCAGUGAGGAAUAUUGGUCAAUGGGCGCAAGCCUGAACCAGCCAAGUAGCGUGCAGGAAGACGGCCCUAUGGGUUGUAAACUGCUUUUAUACGAGAAUAAUUUGAUGCACGUGUGCGUUAUUGCAUGUAUCGUAUGAAUAAGGACCGGCUAAUUCCGUGCCAGCAGCCGCGGUAAUACGGAAGGUCCAGGCGUUAUCCGGAUUUAUUGGGUUUAAAGGGAGUGUAGGCGGUUUGUUAAGCGUGUUGUGAAAUUUAGAUGCUCAACAUUUAACUUGCAGCGCGAACUGUCAGACUUGAGUACACGCAACGUAUGCGGAAUUCAUGGUGUAGCGGUGAAAUGCUUAGAUAUCAUGAAGAACUCCGAUUGCGAAGGCAGCAUACGGGAGUGUAACUGACGCUUAAGCUCGAAGGUGCGGGUAUCGAACAGGAUUAGAUACCCUGGUAGUCCGCACAGUAAACGAUGGAUGCCCGCUGUUAGCGCCUGGCGUUAGCGGCUAAGCGAAAGCAUUAAGCAUCCCACCUGGGGAGUACGCCGGCAACGGUGAAACUCACAGGAAUUGACGGGGGCCCGCACAAG
RNAcentral lists this ribosomal RNA (597 nucleotides) under uncultured bacterium. RNAcentral's name for it is "bacterial SSU rRNA". It matches the Rfam family "Bacterial small subunit ribosomal RNA", at positions 331 to 929 of the family's 1533-position model. The record is from RNAcentral.